This 305-nucleotide ribosomal RNA is filed under the name uncultured bacterium. RNAcentral's name for it is "bacterial SSU rRNA". It matches the Rfam family "Bacterial small subunit ribosomal RNA", at positions 334 to 656 of the family's 1533-position model. The record is from RNAcentral.
GGCUCCUACGGGACGCAGCAGUGGGGAAUAUUGCACAAUGGGGGAAACCCUGAUGCAGCGACGCCGCGUGAGUGAAGAAGCGCCUCGGCGCGUAAAGCUCUGUCAGCAGGAACGAUAAUGACGGUACCUGAAGAAGAAGCCCCGGCUAACUACGUGCCAGCAGCCGCGGUAAUACGUAGGGUGCGAGCGUUAAUCGGAAUUACUGGGCGUAAAGGGUGUGCAGGUGGUUUUGCAAGAUGGAUGUGAAAGCCCCGGGCUUAACCUGGGAAAGCCAUACAUGACUGCAAGACUAGAGUGCGUCAGAG